GCCGCUAUCGUCUAGUGGUUAGGACGCCAGGUUCUCAUCCUGGUAACAGGAGUUCGAUUCUCCUUAGCGGUACCA
RNAcentral lists this transfer RNA (75 nucleotides) under Patescibacteria group bacterium. RNAcentral's name for it is "tRNA-Glu". It matches the Rfam family "tRNA". From Rfam's summary of the family: Transfer RNA (tRNA) molecules are approximately 80 nucleotides in length. Their secondary structure includes four short double-helical elements and three loops (D, anti-codon, and T loops). Further hydrogen bonds mediate the characteristic L-shaped molecular structure. tRNAs have two regions of fundamental functional importance: the anti-codon, which is responsible for specific mRNA codon recognition, and the 3' end, to which the tRNAs corresponding amino acid is attached (by aminoacyl-tRNA synthetases). tRNAs cope with the degeneracy of the genetic code in two manners: having more than one tRNA (with a specific anti-codon) for a particular amino acid; and 'wobble' base-pairing, i.e. permitting non-standard base-pairing at the 3rd anti-codon position. The record is from RNAcentral.